Molecule: unclassified non-coding RNA, 4293 nt
Filed under: Hevea brasiliensis (rubber tree)
Lineage: Eukaryota; Viridiplantae; Streptophyta; Magnoliopsida; Malpighiales; Euphorbiaceae
Source: RNAcentral
GCACAUUUCCUUUAUCCUGUCCUGCCACCAAGUUUUGAUUGGCCUUUUGAUAUUUCCUUUUAUUAAAAAGCUACGAACAGAAAUUGUUGUCACAGGCUGUUGCCUUUUAUGAUUAGGUGGGUAAGUUUCAUCAUAUUUGCCAACACCAAUAUGUUACACCUAAUCAUCAAUUCCAUCCCCACCACCAGAAUCAUCACAAGAAAACUAUUUAUCUUCUUAAAGAAAAAUACAAAAAUACAUACACACCAGAAAAUGGACCAUCAAGUUAAAAUUUCAAUUCUGUAUCACUUUCAGCAAAAUUCUUUGGAUAGGUGUAUGAAGAGAUCAGGAAGAGAUGGGAAACUCAUUUCAUUGCAUUUUCAAAACCUUUUAAAGAUGUGAAGAACAAUAAUUCAAACUACGCUUCCAAGAAUCAUGGGACAAAGGCUAAAACACACAAUAACUAGAAGUCAGGGAAACUUUUCAUAGAGAAAAGCAAAGAAACAAAUAGAAUGAACAUAGAAAACCACAAUCACUUACAAAUACCACUCUUAUCUCCCAUCUGCUGAUGUAAAUGAUUCCGCGAACCCAUAUGGACAUGUGGGUAUACUGUUCUGAGUAUUAUCUAAGCUGAGGAGGAGUGAAGAAGAUGAAUAUUCCAAGUUGCUUCUAUUUUCAAAGGCUUGCCACUUCUGAAGUACUUGCGGUAAGGACAUUUCAAGAUCAAUGCCAUAUAUAUCUUCAGGAUUUUGGUUAGUUGGUUUCCAGAGCUCCACUAGAGAUGAUAACACGUUGACAGUAUGCCCCAUGUCUGGUCUUUGAGAUGGCUCUCUUGCACUGCAGUGGCCUGCCAACUCUGCAACAGUGCUGAUACUUGCAAGUGUUUCCUCAUCGAGGUCAAUCGUGGGGUCAAUGGCCUUGUGGAAGGAUUCCUUGUUGAGGUGCAACCUGCGGAACCAAGUUACAAGAUGCAUGCUCUCCUCAGGCUGGCUAUCAUCGAGAGCUUUUCUACCUGUUAUAAGCUCCAUCAAUAUCACCCCAAAACUGAAAACAUCCACUUUAGUUGUCACCCUACCAGUAACUGCAUAUUCCGGUGCCAAGUAUCCGAAAGUUCCAGCGAUUCGUGUUUCAAUUGAGCCUUUACCCUCUGGUGCAAGGCGUACAAGACCAAAAUCGGCAACCUUGGCCCUCAUAUCAUCCCCAAGAAGAAUGUUUGAGGGUUUCAAGUCCCUAUGUAUAAAACUUUGAUGUGCCAAACCAUGAAGGUAUUCAACACCCCUUGCUACAUCCAAGGCUAUAGUCAACCUCUUUGUCCACUCUAGGGGUUUCAGUCCUUCAUCUGCCCAGUUAAAAAGAUGCCUACUGAGUGUCCCUUGUGGCAUAAAUUCAUAAACAAGAAGCUUCUCAUUACCAUCCAAGCAGUACCCAAGAAGAGCAACAAGAUGCCGGUGCCUAACCUUGGUCAGCACAGCAAUCUCAGACUUAAACUCACUUAGUCCCUUCCCACUUAUGACCCCAGACUCCAUUCUCUUGACAGCAAUCUUUGUACCAUCAUGCAAUUCACCUUUGUACACCACUCCAAAACCUCCUUGACCCAAUAUAUUUUUCUCACUGAAAUUGUUUGUCACGUUCCUUAAGACUUGAAUAGAAAUGACCAUGUUCCCUGCUUCAACCAUUUGAAUAUCACCUUGCUCACUUGCAGGAAUAGUAAGUGUCUCGCUAAUUGCACCAACACUAACACUUGAACCAGCAACUGUGAUCUUUACACUCUCGUUAUCAGAUCCAGAAUGGUGAGGAUGGAUCACCAUUGCAUUUGGACUCUGCACUCUGCUAAACCGCUUUUGUUUCUUCUUAUAUAGCAAGAAACUCAACAAGCCAACAAAGAUUAUCAAAAGUAUGCCUCCAACGACACAUAACACAAUUACUCCAAUCUUAGUAGAUGAUUUCUUGCCACCAUUUCCAGAGCCACCACUGCUUCCAGAACCUGUGUUUGUUGAUGGAGCAGCUGAUGGUGAACCUGGAGAUGUAGAACUAUUAACUUCCUUCCCUAUAUCUGGAUUACCAUCAGUAUUCACCAUCACAUUACUCUUGAAAACUGGAAUUUUCCCAGAAAGAAGAUUGUUUGACACAUCAAGUUCCUUGAGUGCAGGCAGAGUAGUAAGCACCUGCGGAAUAGAACCUGUGAGAUUAUUACCAUCAAGAACCAAUCUUUGCAACGAUUUAAGUGAAACAAACUCGGGGGAAAUCGUUCCUGUAAGGCCCAUCUUCUGGAAGUUUACAACAGUAAUGUUCCCUUGAGUACAAGUAAUUCCAAUCCAAUCUGCACAAGGAUCAUUCCCCUUCCAACUCUGAGCAAACCUUUGUGGGUAACCCAUGGAUUUUACAAUCAGAAGCAACGUGUUAACACUGGAAUCGCAUUCACCAGGACUUGGCAAACAAAAACUAUUUGAAUCCUUGGUCAUAUCAACAGAGACUGAGAUCUUGAACACAGGCAUAGGCCCUUGAAAGAAAUUAUUUGUCAAAUUCACUACAUUCAAAGACUCAAGAUUCACCAAAGACAAAGGAACAGGACCCGUGAAUGAAUUAUCCCUUAUACUCAAGAGCUGCAAAUCUUUCAAACCCGAAAAAUCUGGUAAAGGACCCGUAAACCCAUUAGAAUGCAACCAAACAUCCUUCAACAAAGUCAUGUUCUGUAUAACAUCAAUUCUACCAGUAAGCUUGCCUUCACUCUUCUGCCCAUUGAGCCACAAAGACAGGAUCUGUGACCCAGCAAAGCUCGCAGGCAACUCACCUUCAAGCUCAUUGAAGGCCAAAUGCAGAAUGGUUAGGCCCGGAAAAGCAUCUGGACCAAAAAAAUUGGGUAUUGACCCAGAGAUGUUUGCCGAAUUUGCGGAGAAAUUCUGCAAAGUAGAAGAGUUUUUAAUACUUUCAGGGAUUACCCAGGAGGAAAAUGGGUUGUUAUCAAUCUCAACAGCCUUAAGAGAGGACAAACCAGUAAAGAAAUCACUAGGAAUGGAAGUAAACUGAUUCCCAGAAAGCAUUAUCACUUGUAGUGAGCUUAACCCGUUAAGACUAGGUAGAAGACCGGAAAUGUUGUUCCAUUGAAGCUCUAAGCGCUCUAGUUGAGUAAGGUUUUGAAGAUUUGAAGGGAGUGUACCUCGUAGGUUUUGUCGACCAAUUUGGAUGCGGGUGACUCGUCUAUCAUCAGAGCAGCCAACAUGGUUCCAGUUGCAGGGAUCCGGGUCAGACCAUCCAAGAGAAUCAGGUACAUUGAGGCUUUUCUUGAGGGCAAGCAUAACUGCAACAUCUUCACUAGGGGUAGCUUGAGAGUUGACAAUGAGAAAGAUUGAAGAAAAACUGGAAAGAAGAAGAAGCAAAAGCUUGCAACUGAGACAAGCUCUCUUCUCUAUCCUCAGAGAAAGAAAGAAAGCCAUGGAAGGUUCUUCAAGAGAGAGUUCUUCAACAUUUCGAGAAGCAACGCAUAGGUAAAGCAGAGGGAGAGAUGGGGGCUGGGGGAGAGAGGAAUGUGUAAUAGUCUAAUAGAUGACAGUGCACAUGGGGAAGGGGGCCCAAAGAGGUGAGAAUCAAAAGGCUGUCAUAGCAGGAUUCAUAUACCCGUUCCUCUUUUUUAUAAUAAUUUCUUCUUCCUGAGAUUUUUCGUGGUUUUCAUUGCUUCUCACUUUUCGAGCGUUUCUUUGCAUUCCAUCCCCAAACAAAAACUUUCUUUGCUUUCCCGAUCUCUCCAUAGAAUCUCUCUCUUAUGUCUCUCCACUGUAUCUUUGUCCUCUUCAAGCAUCUUCUUGCUAUUAGGAGUUAUGAUUUGUGGAGUUUGAUCUGAUCUUCCAAGCGGUAAUACACAGCCCAGCCCUGCUUUGGUGUAUUGUUUUUACUUGCCCUUCUGUCUUUCAGAGAAACAACGUCUAGAGAAAAAAACAAAAAAGCUAGUAAUGGAUUUUUUUUUUCUUAGAACCAAGCUUUUAGUUUCUUGUUCUUGAAGUUAAUUGGUGUGCUAAUGUUGUUAUAUUGUUAAUUGCCUGCUGUUGCUUGUUUUGGUAAAAAUUCUAGUAACAAAAUUCUUCAUGCAAUUUCGUGAAAUUAAAAAUUUGAUGUGAUUAACCACCAGUUGAAAGCAAAGAAUUCAUUAGCAGUAAUCUUUCUUGAAUUUUUGUUUAAAUAUGUUUAACCCAUCCAUUCUCCUUGAUGGAGAGUGUUUGAUGUAAUAAUGAAUGACUUUGUUUCUAAGGAUACAGUAUUGCAUUAUAUCAAAAAAGGAUAUGGUAUUGUAAUCUUUUCCAUUUGUAUUACCUUCCGAAC